This 465-nucleotide ribosomal RNA is filed under the name uncultured bacterium. RNAcentral's name for it is "partial 16S ribosomal RNA". It matches the Rfam family "Bacterial small subunit ribosomal RNA", at positions 28 to 506 of the family's 1533-position model. The record is from RNAcentral.
GACGAACGCUGGCGGCGCGCCUAACACAUGCAAGUCGAACGAGCGAGCGAGAGCUUGCUUUCUCGAGCGAGUGGCGAACGGGUGAGUAACGCGUGAGGAACCUGCCUCAAAGAGGGGGACAACAGUUGGAAACGACUGCUAAUACCGCAUAAGCCCACGGCUCGGCAUCGAGCAGGGGGAAAAGGAGCAAUCCGCUUUGAGAUGGCCUCGCGUCCGAUUAGCUAGUUGGUGAGGUAACGGCCCACCAAGGCGACGAUCGGUAGCCGGACUGAGAGGUUGAACGGCCACAUUGGGACUGAGACACGGCCCAGACUCCUACGGGAGGCAGCAGUGGGGAAUAGUGCACAAUGGGGGAAACCCUGAUGCAGCGACGCUGCGUGGAGGAAGAAGGUCUUCGGAUUGUAAACUCCUGUUGUUGGGGAAGAUAAUGACGGUACCCAACAAGGAAGUGACGGCUAACUACGU